This 1095-nucleotide long non-coding RNA is filed under the name Capsicum annuum. Its description in RNAcentral is "long non-coding RNA (CANN_LNC019476)". The record is from RNAcentral. Lineage: Eukaryota; Viridiplantae; Streptophyta; Magnoliopsida; Solanales; Solanaceae.
CAACAGUACUUACAGGCUGCCCAGUCCAAAAAUAAUCGUCUUCGUGCUCAAAUAUUAGAUCAAUAGAUUGCUCUUAGCAGGUGUUUUGAGAUGAUGAUGUCUUUGGUUGGCCGGACUCCUUCACUUCCUCCACUACCCUUCUCUUAGUCCCGUAUUUCUUAUUUUGCUCCCUCUAGUACCUUUUCUUUAAACUAGUGCUCAAACUUUACAUUUUGUGCAACCCAUAUAGUGCUUGUUAUGUUGGUACAAUGCCGUGGUUGUUGUUGUUUACUCUGUUUUCUAUGUUUAUCCUUGCUACUGGCUAAUUAAUAUCAUUGGGCUGAUUUUUUCUUACUAUUUGGUGGUGUUCUAGUGAGUGUUCUCUGUACUAAUUUGUUUCGUCUUUUUUUCAAUGAUGCCAAAAGGGGGAAGUUCGUUGUAUUGUUUUUGGUGAGACAUGGGGACUAUGUCUGUGAAGUUAUGUUGUACCUGUGCAUUAUUUGUCAUUAUCAAAAAGGGGAAUAUGUGAAGUCUAGAAGAUAUGAAAUUAUAGUUUUGAUGAUUGACCUCUGAAUCAGUUUCAUGUUGAUUGUGAACCAGGUUCUUGGUUUUUGUGGGGCUGGAAUAUUUAGCUAGGUAACGUGCAGCAGUGUACUUAUUUAAAUAAGGAAUGCACAAUUAACGCAUUGGAAAGAAUCCAAAAUUUUAAGUCAAAAGAAAAUCUUUUUAUUAUGGUAAAGAGGUGUAUUCUAGCAGGUUUCCAUAUACAAGUUGGUUUCCACAAGAAAACGUUUUUGGUGACCUAAAGGGAGUCAAAGAGCAGUAGUAUAUAUGCAGUGCUGGGAAGUGGCGCAGAUACCUUUUAGCAAAUCCACAGAUCUGAAAAUUAGAAGAAGCAAGAAGGAGCAAUCAAGUAAAAUCGAGCAAAUUGAUCGAGACCAAGCUAUUACUAGGUAACUGUUUGGUGUUGGAAAUAUAAGUGUUUCUUUUUAGUUGUAAUAGUCUUUGUUUAUUGUUAGAAGUGAAGUGUGGGAGAGGUGUUGUAACAAGAAGUGAGUUUGACUUCUUGGAGUGAUUAAGUUGUGUGUAGAACAGUUAGAGUUAACUGUCAAAGUG